CUAGGAGUAAGGCCAGUGGCUCCAGGAGUCGCUGAAGGAGUUAAGAGUGGGUUUGGUGUUUGAACUUCCCUUUUCUCAGGAGUGACACCAGAAAAAUCUAAGCGGUGCAGCAUAAGAUUAUCCCCUCCAAGUAAUGGUGUCUGAGACUGAGUCAAUCUUCGUUGAUUUUCUGCUUCCAUCAUAAUGGCAUCUUGCUUAGUUGAAGGGGUUCUUUGAGGUGUUCGCAUAGGAGUCAUUGCAUGAUGUCCCAUUAAGAGUGGGUUUGGUGUUUGAACUUCCCUUUUCUCAGGAGUGACACCAGAAAAAUCUAAGCGGUGCAGCAUAAGAUUAUCCCCUCCAAGUAAUGGUGUCUGAGACUGAGUCAAUCUUCGUUGAUUUUCUGCUUCCAUCACAAUAGCAUCUUGCCUAGUUCAAGGGGUUCUUUGAGGCGUUCACAUAUGAGUCAAUGCAUGAUGUGGUGUCUGGGCAUAAUUUGCAAGAAGAGCAUGUGUUGCAGCAUUCCCUUCAGAGAGUUCAUCACCCCCUAGUAGAUCACUGGCAAUACCUAUCUUUGCUAUGGCCCCAAUUCAUGGUCUGGAAUCUGUGGUGCAGGAAGAUUGAGUUUCGACCUCUUCCUCACUGUUUCUGGAUCUUUAAGUUUAUUUGCAUGCAAUAUGGCUUUAGGAGCAUCCUGCCUUUCUGCAAUUUUAUUCCUUGCAAUAUCAUGCUUUCUUAAACGAGCUUCCUUGUCGACUCUCCUCUUCUAGUUCUUCAAUGGUAGUUGGAAACUUAGGUUGCUCUAGUGGACGGGGUUCCUCCGCAACAUCAUAGAAACCUGGAGGAGGCUUCUUUUCAAAGGGUAUUUCAGCAUUAUAAUCAAUUCCUCUCCUUUUCCUCUUCCUUUGACGGGCAUCUAUUCCAACAGCCUUCACUUCUCUCCUUUUCUGUAAGGAAGCAAGCCUUCGAGCCUCUUCAUGCUGUUUUUCUCUAGCUUUUCUUUUAGCCUUCUUACCUCUUGUGUUGGCCAACCGAGCCCGUGCUUCAGACAGCAUUUCUGUCUCAUCCUCGUCUCUAUCAACAGGAUCUGGACGAGCAGGCUUUGAUUCUGGAUUAGGAUCAAUCUCUCCAGGCUUCAAUUUUCUUGGAUCGUCAUUAGGGUCAUAUUUUUCAUCUUUAGCACAUGCUGCAUCGAGAAGCUUUUCAUAGCGUUCAAGGCACUGGGAUGGUGUACAACCAACAAUUGGUGCAAUAGUCCUCCAUUCAGUUGGCAUGAGCUUUGCAAGGUAACUAGUUUCUCAUCUUCUUCUCUAGUCCAUUCAGUCUGAGAAAAAAGAGCAGCGAGGAUGUUUAUAAGUUGUUAAACUCAGAUAUAAGUUCCUACAACAACUUUCGGAAUUCCAUUCCGAUCCUCAGAUCAAAAACAUACUAUCGGACCGGAAGCUUCAAAAAUUCAAACUUCGGCAUUCCUAGCCUAAAUGAGCUAUGGACCUCCAUAAUACAUUUCGGACACAUUCCUAACCUCAAAAUCACCUAACUGAGCUAACGGAACCAUCAAAUUUCCAUUCCGAUGCCUUCUUCACAUUGUUCCGAUUACAGAAUCCUUUCCAACAUUUAAGCUCUCAUUUAAGGACUAAGUGUUCCAAAAUACUCUGAAUCCCGAUACCGAACGUUCCACUAAACCAAAAUAGUAGAAAUAAACUUAGGGGAAGCAGUUAAUGGGAGAUCGGGGCAUAAAUUCUAAAAAUGACCGGCUGGGUCGUUACAGAAAUGUGUUGACUUGGUCAGCCUAUCAACGAUGACCCAUACUGUGUCGAAUAUUUUUCGAGUUAGUGGGAGUCCAAUAACGAAAUCCAUAGUAAUCCUCUCCCACUUCCACUCGGGAAGCUCAAUCCUCUGAAACAAUCCAUCGGGUCUCUCAUGAUCACACUUAACUUGCUGACAAUUCAAACAUUGAGCCAUAUAUGCAACAAUAUCUUUCUUCAUUAUACGACAUCAAUAAUGCUGCCGCAAAUCCUGAUACAUCUUCGCGGCGCCCGGAUGAAUAGAAUACCGGGAGCUAUGUGCCUCUGCUAAGAUCAACUCUCGAAGCCAAUCUACAUUGGGCACACAAACUCGCCCCUGCAAUCUCAAAACUCCAUCAUCAUCUAAGGUCACAUGCUUGGCAGCUCCACGCUGCACCAUGUCUCUAAGGACACACAAAUGGGAAUAAUCAAAUUGCCAAUCAAGGAUAUGCUCCAAUAAUGAAGAAUGAGUGACCAUGCAAGGUAACACCCGACUAGGAUCAGAAAUAUCCAACCUUACGAAUCGAUUGGCCAAGGCCUGAAAAUUCAAAGAAAGCGGUCUCUAACUGACCGAAAUAUAAGCAAGGCUGCCCAUAUUGGCUGAAUUCCUACUCAAGGCAUCGGCCACCACAUUAGUCUUCCCCGGGUGAUACAAGAUAGUGACAUCAUAAUAUUUCAACAACUCCAACCACCUUCUAUGCCUCAAAUUCAACUCCUUUUACUUGAACAAGUACUUAAUGCUCUUGUGAUCAGUGAACACCUCACAUGUCACGCCAUAUAGAUAAUGCAUCCAAAUCUUCAAUGCAUGAACAAUGGCUGCCAACUCUAGAUCAUGAACCGGAUAAUUCUUCUCGCGAAUUUUCAACUGCCUUGAAGCAUAGGCAAUAACCCUGCCCUCGUGCAUCAACACUGCACCAAGACCAAUACGGGAAGCAUCAUAAUAAAUUUCAUAAGGCCCUGAACCUGUGGACAAAACCAACACUAGUGACAUAAUCAGAGCUGUCUUGAGCUUCUGAAAGCUCACCUCACACUCGUCCGACCAUCUGAAUUCGGCACUCUUCUGGGUCAACCUGGUCACUCAGGCUGCAAUGGACGGGAACCCUUCCACGAACCGACGAUAGUUUCCUGCCAACGCCGAGAAACUCUGAAUAACCAUAUCUGAUGCUGGUCGAGGCCAGUUCUUGACUGCCUCAAUCAUCUUUGGAUCAACCUAAAUACCCUCCACUGAUACAACAUGACCAGGAAUACAACCGAACUCAACUAGAACUCAGAUUCCGAGAACUUAGCAUAUAACUGACGAUCCUUAAGAGUCUGAAGAACAACUCCAAACUACGAGAGUAUAUCAUAAUAUCAUUAAUAAAAGACUAGUACGAACAAGUCCAAAUAAGGCCUGAACACUCGGUUUAUCAACUCCAUAUACGAUGUUGGGGCAUUGGUCAACCCGAAUGACAUAACCAAGAACUCAUAAUUCCCGCACCGAGUGCGGAAAGGUGUAUUAGGAACAACGGAUGCCCUAAUCCUCAAUUGAUGGUAGCCAGAUCUCAAGUCUAUCUUUGAAAAUACCUUGGCACCCUAAAGCUGAUUGAACCUCGGUAGUGGAUACUUAUUCUUGAUUGUAACCUUGUUUAAUUGCUGGUAAUCAAUGCAAAUUCUCAUUGAUCCAUCCUUUUUCUUCAUAAACAACACCGGCACACCCCAUGGCAAAACUCUAGGUCUAAUGAAACCCUUCUUGAGCAAAUCUUGCAAUUGCUCCUUUAACUCUUUCAACUCUAGCAGGGCCAUGCGCUACGGCGGGAUAGAAAAGGGUUGAGUUCCCAAAUUCGAAAUCAAUACAGAAGUCGAUAUCCCUAUCGGGCGGCAUACCCGGCAGGUCUGAAGAGAAAACCUCAGGAAACUGCCAAACAAAGGGCGCAGAAUCAGUAGAAGGGACCUCCGCACUAGAAUCGCAAACAUACGCCAAAUAGGCCAAACACCCAUUCUUGACCAUACGUCGAGCCUUCAAAUACGAGAUAACACUGUGAGUAGAAUGACCAGGAGUCUCCCUCCACUCCAAAUUGGGCAAAUUCGGUAAGGCUAAGGUCAUGGUCUUGGCAUGGUAGUCAAAGAUAACAUGGUAAGGUGACAACCAGUCCAUUCCCAAUAUAACAUCAAAAUCUACCAUGUCUAAAAGCAACAAAUCAACACGGGUCUGAAGACCCCCAAUCACGACAAAACAAGAACGAUGAACUCGAUCGACCAUAAUAGAAUCACCCACCGGUGUAGACACAUAAAAACAAAUACUCAAUGAAUCACUACGCAUUAUGAGAUACGGUGAAAAAUAAUAUGACACAUAUGAGUACAUAGACCCUGGAUCAAAUAGCACUGAAGCAUCUCUAUCACAAACAAGAAUAGAACUUGUAAUGACUGCAUCUGAAGACCCAGCCUCGGGCCUGGACGAAAGAGCAUAACAUCGGGGUUGGGCCCCACCACCCUGCACUACCUCUCUAGGACGGCCUGCUACUGGCUGGCCUCCGCCUCUGGCAGCCUCAACUCCACCUCUAGGACAUGUACUUUCAUCUCAAGCACCUCUACCCCCACCCAUAGCUGGUUGGGCAGCCAUUGGAACACCUGGUGCCUGAAUCAUGGCACGGGAACCCUGUAUAGAGAACUGCUCGAAGCUCGAGGAAAACCUAGCAAUGUGCCUCGAGUCAACACAAGUACCACAAAUCACCACCUUGGAAACUCUGAAGUAGUGGUGCAUUGAUAAGUGUUGGCGGUGCAGUGAAGGACUGCUAAUCAGAAUAUUACAUCGGAGGACUGUGGCUACCUCAAGCGCCAUGAGAAACUUGAAGAGCUGAUUGAAAUGGCCUAGGAUGAUGGCCUCUACCAUAAGAAUCUCUUCCUCCAGACGAAGCGCCACUAAAUCUGCCUGAAUAACAAGGCCUCUUAUCUGACCCAUGACCACCUCUCUGUGACAGAACCAUCUCAACUCGGGGGGCCACAUUGGCCGCCUCCUAAAAAGUGAUCUCACUCCCAGUCUCCCUGGCCAUCUGAAGAUGAAUCGGCUGAAUCAAAUCAUCAAUAAACUUCUACACUCUCUCUCUCUCUCUCUCUCUCUCUCUCUCUCUCUCUCUCUUUCUCUCUCUCUCUCUCUCUCUCUCUCUUUCUCUCUCGGUAGGAAGUAUGACAAGAGAAUUGCGAGAUAAGUCGAUAAACCUGGUCUCAUACUGGGUAACAGCCAUGGAACCCUGCUAGAGACGCUCAAAUUGGCUCCGAUAUGCCUCUCUUUGAGUAAUGAGGAGAAACUUCCCUAGAAAAAACUCUAAAAACUUCUCCCAAGUCAACGAUGGCGACCUUGUUGGCCUGCCUAAGCAAUAAUCCCUCCACCAAGUCUUGGCGGAUCCAGAUAGGCGAAAUAUAGCAAAAUCAACCCCAUUGGUCUUAACAAUGCCUAUGUUCCUGAGAACCUCAUGGCAAUUAUAUAAGAAAUCAUGGGGAUCCUCAGAAAAAGCACCACUGAAAGUAGUAGUGAACAGCUUGGUGAACUGAUCCAGUCUCCACAAAGCAUCGGCGGACAUGGCCGCUCCAUCACCGGUAUGAGCCACUACACCCGGCUAAAAUACCAUAGCUGGCUGAACCACUAGAACAUGAGCCUGGGAGCUACCCGCUCCGAAGUGCGAGUAGCGGGAGUUUGGGCUCCUCCUCUAGCCUGAGAAAUGGCUGGUGAUAUAGGAAGCAACCCUGCUCGGGUGACACUCUCCAUGAGGCCCACCAAUCGGACCAGAGCGUCCUGAAAAACUAGGGUGACAAUAAACCCCUCUGGGACCUGAGCUGGGCCCACCGGAACUGCUGGGGCUAGAACCUCUUCAUCAAAAUUAACCUGAGGCUCUGCCACUUGUGCUGCUACUCGGGGUUGAGCUAUGCCCCUACCUCGGCCUCUAGCACAGCCUCAGCCUCACCCUCUGCCCCUCGUGGGAGCUGCUCCUGGGGGGCCGGGCUGCUGAGCGGUAGAUGAGGAAGCGCGUCUACGAAAGAACAGAGUAGAAAGGAAAUUAGUAUUGGGAAACAAAAUCGCACGACAAGAAAGAACAAAUGUGAAGUUUUCCUAACUAUGUAGCCUCUGGAGGAUAAAUACAGAUGUCUCUGUACCGAUCCCUUAGACUCUACUGAGCUUGUUCAUGAGUUGUGAGACCUAUGUAACCUAGUGUUCUUAUAUCAACUUGUCACGAUCCGGAAUUUCCACCCUCGGGAGUCGUGAUGGUGCCUACUCGUAAAAGCUAGGCAAGCCACAUUCAUAUAUUCCUAGCUCUUUUAUCUUAAACCAUUUUAUAAAACAUAACAACAAGUGUUAAAUUAUUAAAAAAUAGCGUAAACAUGAACUUAAAGCGGAAGACUUAAAUUAAGUAAACUGAACAACAAUGCAGAAAUCAACAUAUAUCUCUACCCAAGAACUGGUGUCACAUUACUCAUGCACUAUUAAGAAAACUAAAUACAACUGUUUGAAAUAAAUAUAAUAUUAUUUGUCUCGAAUACAUGAGAUAACAGAAUAAAAAGUAAGAUAGAUGAGACGCUGGGCCUGCGAACAUCUGCUAGGCUACCUCGGUGUCUCGGUGGACUGAAGGCUGACUCCAGAUCUAAUGCUGCUGCUCGAACGCUGCUCCGGUAUCUGCACAUAAUUGUAAAGUGUAGCAUCAGCACAACCGACCCCAUGUGCUGGUAACUAUCUAAUCUAACCCCGGCAAAGUAGUGACGAGGCUAGGACCAGACUCCAGAUAUACAUGUGAAGUUAUAUAAUAUAUGGCAAAAAAGUGAACAUGUAAGAAGAAAUUUAAUGUUGGGGAAGGAAAAACAUGCUUUGGGGAUGGCAGUUAAAGUAGCAUAUCAAGAAUAAUAUAGAAACUACAAUUUAACUUCUAACACAGGUAAAGGGGAAAUAAAGGCAACUUUUAUCUUUCAUUUCAUCUCGUUGCAGGCGUGCAACUCGAUCCCAUUUAUCAUAUCUCGUGGUAGGCGUACCACCCGCUCCCAUUUCAUUAUAUCUUGUAGAAGGCAUACCACCCGCUCCGAUUUCAUCAAUAACUUGUGGUAGGAAUACCACCUCUCCCAUUUCAUCAUUAACUUGUGGUAGGAGUACCACUCGCUCCCAUUUCAAUAUCGCUUAUGGUAGGCGUACCACCUGGUCCCAUUUAUUCCAACACAAUACAUAAUACAAUCCCGACUAGGGAACAGAAUAAUAUAAUAACUUCCCAGAAAGGGAAUACAAGCAAAAUAAUAACUUUCCAGAAAGGGAGACAAUAACAACAAAUCAAACAUCCCGGCAAGGGAGAGUCAACUAUAACCAAUCCUAUUCAACUUCUACUUGACACAAUCAAUAUUAAUACUCAAUCAUGACUAAAGUCCACGGGAAUAAGCUAAGUCUUUACUCAGUAUCAAGGAUCACCAAUCAAAGCAAUCACAAAAUCAAUUAAGAAUACACAAUUACCAAUUUAAGACCCAUGGUCAUGCUCAACACCGACGUAUAGAUACUCGUCAGUGUGCAUAUACGCCAUACUCAACACUAAACAAAUAGCAAAUUUGACUCAACUCCCAAUCCCUCAAGCUAAUGUUAUACCGAACACUUACCUCGAUGCUUUGAACUCGACUCAAGUCUAAAUUAUAGCUUUACCCCUUGAUUCCACCAUAAAUCCGCUCGAAUCUAGUCACAAGUUACUUAAUUACAUCAAUAAAUGCUAAAUGAAUCACUUUGAAUGCAUACAACUGAAUUUUCCAAAGUUUUGCCAUAAAAGUCCAAAAUCUCCCCCGGCCCACGUGGUCAAAACCUGAGGUUCGGACCAAACCUCGAUUACCUAUUCCCCCACGAACCCAAAGAUAUAAUUUGUUUUGAAAUCGGACCUCAAAUUUAGGUCCAAAUCUCAAAUUCUAGAAAAACCCAUGUUCUACCCAAAACACCCAAUUUUUCCCAUAAAAAUCUUUGAUUUCAAGUUGAAAACUUGUUAAAUGAUGUUAAUGAUUGAAAGAAAUGAGUAAAAACUAACUUACAAUUGAUUUGGACAAACUCUUAUUCUUGAAAAAUCGCCCAAAAAAGUUUGUGUUUUGAAAGAAUGUUAAACAUUGCUCAAAUUUCGGCUAAGUGUAAAAUAUGCAGGUCUCAUACGUUGGAAAUGCGAACAAGAUUACGAACCCCAACCCUGCUGGUAAAGGAAUUGCGAGAAAAUAGUUCGCAUUUGCGAACACUGCCAAAAUUUUGAACAUUCGCAUUUGCGAGACAUGUAUCGCAUUUGCAGUGGUCGCAUUUGCUACAUAUUGAUCGCAUUUAUGAUCCCUGGUAUGGGGGCUUUUCGCAUUUGCGAUCUCGCAUUUCCGAUCUCGCAUUUGCGAGCCAGGCAGGUCAGUGCAUACCAACAACUUUUCAAGGUUCAAAACAUAACUUGCGGCUAUCCAAAACUCACCCCGAGCCCUCGGGGCUCAAAACCAAAUGUACACACUACCUCUAAAAUAUCCUACGAACUUAUGUGGGCGAUCAAAUAGCUAAAAUAACAUCAUAUACAUUAAAUUAAGCCUCAAAAUCCAUGAAUUCUUUCAAAUUUCAUAAAACAUCAAAAAUUUCCAUUUUAAGUCCGAAACACGUCAUACGAUGUCUGUUUUCAACCAAACUUCACAUAAAGUACUUAAACCAUAUAUAAGACAUGUACUGGGCACCGGAACCAAAAUACGGGCCCCAUACCAUCACUUUCUAAUCAGAUUUUAUUUUCAAUUUUCUUAAAUAUUUUCAUAAAGACAAUUUUACUCAAAAAUUCAUCUCCAGGGCUUGGGACCUCGAAAUUCGAUUUCAGGCAUACGUCCAAGUCUUAUAUUUUUCUACUGACCUUUCGGGACCAUCAAAUUACGGAUCUGGAUCCGUUUACCCAAAAUAUUAACCAAAUUCAAAUUUAUUCAUUUUAAUAUUAAAACUUAGCAUUUUUUACAGAAUUUUAUAUUUAAGCUUUUCGGUUAUGCGUCCGGACUGUGCACGUAAAUCGAGACAAUCCUGAAUGAGGUUUUCAAGACCUCGGAGACACAGAAUUCAAUUAAAAAUAGGUAUUGACAUUUUGGGUUGUCAUAAUAUAUUUUAAGAAUAAAAAGGCGAGCAACUAAACAUCUUAGUACUUCUAAUAUAAUAUAGAUAGAUAAGUAUUUUUGUUUGACCAAGUCUUUUACGAUUUUAUCGCUAUUAUAUUUUGUAACGAAUAACUCUUCCUAAAACAUAGUACCUUUUAAUUAUGUCUCUAUUCUAUUUCCAUCACUUGUCCUUUUUAUGUAAAAUAAAUUUAAUUAUGUUUUUUUAUAAACAAUUUUAAGGAUAUGCUAAUCAUUUUAAUUGAGAAAGUUGUUAUCAUCACUUUUUUAACAAACACACGAUCAACUUUAAGAUUUCUAUUCAAAUGGACUUUAAAUUUAUCUAUCUAUCAAUCAUCUUUUUCGAAGGAAUGAAUAUUUAUUAUCACUUGGGUAAAAACCUCGUCGGGUGAUCAAGCCACCCUAAAACCAAUCUCCAAUUAUUUCUUAAGUAAAGUUAUGUGCAUUGAUAAUAUAAAAUAUUUAACAAAGUGAUUAUAUUCAAAAUACUUAAUAAGCAUUAAUUGAUAACUUGAUACAAAUAUUAAUUAAUUUAUUAUCACAUAUUAAACUACUUUGAUAUUAUAAAAGAGUCUUACACUGUCUGAAAAUGACACCACAUAGUUACUUUUAAGCAUCGUAGAGCACUUUUGAGAGACUAUUUAUCUAAAGGAAAGCAUUUUUCAUUUAUUCCAAGUUUAGCCGAUUUAUUUACAAAUAGAAUAGAUUUAAAAAAAUUAAACGUUCAGAAUUUUCCCACAAAUCAAGGGAUCAGUUUUGUUCUAUUUUAAUUUGUUAAUGUUAAGACUAGAAUUUUAUUUAGAGUGAAUAUUUAUCUUUACGUUGAGACUAAGUCAUUUUAUUUUCUUUCUCUUUCUCUACAAUAUUGUUCUUGAUCUUUUAUAUUUUAUAACACGUUAUCAGCACUAAACUCUCAUAUCUCAAAAAUCUCUUUGAUAAAAUUAACAUUACACAUUCAUCUUCUCAUCUCAAAUCACUAGCCAAACUAGCCCGUCGACCAAACACCUCCCUACGCAACAGACCGCUAUCACGUCCUUCACCACACACCUGAACAGCCACCAUUCUCUCGCCACCUCAAAGCCAUCGGACCUCACUGCUGUUCCUAGCAGCAACAGCGUGAAAGAGCAACAAAUGGGGUUCGAACUUGGAAGAGUAUCCAUUGAUGUCCGUAUGAGGUUUCCGGUCCGUAUCUAUGAGCUCGAAGCAACGCUACUCCAUUCACUCGUAUUUCGGAAUAGUUCGUUGUAAGUGCGGUUGAGAUUUCUUUAUAAAUAUUGAAGAAAGCAAUUUUCAGGUUCAUCUCUUUUCUCCUUUACUAUUGAUUUCGCUUGUUUCUGCUUUACUGCUCAUGAUUUCAGUGUUGAUGGUUUGAUCAAAUUUGUCCAUUACUGUUAAAUCUAUCGUUUGGGUUUGAACAGUGACGAAGGUGUCUAGUGUAGAUCUGCACUUAUGAUUACAAGCAUUCUGUUCUUUGUAAAAUAAGAGAAAAUAACAAUUUUGGAUGAAUAGUUGUGUGGUUUGUUGUUCGAAAUUUAAGUGUUGAAACUUUCUGUUUAUAAUUUUUCUUACUUUCUUUGUUAAUUAAAAAAAAAAAGGAGUAAAAGAAGAUAUGCAUUUGUAUUUUCUUUUAAUUAUUUGCCUCGAAUGCAUAAUAUGGUUAUGAAUAUUUUUAUAAUAUUGUUAAGUAUAUGUGAUUUGAUGUUUGAAUAUACAGUAGAACUUUAUCCGGCACUAUUUUGAGGCGCAAAAACUUUAAUCAGUGAAAGGAAGCGUUAGAGUUUUCCUUUUUUUGUUUCAUAUAGCUGCUGGGUUUCUUUACUUGGUUAGAAAAGUGUUUAUUCAUGCUAUUGUGCUAUUUUAUAUCAAAGUAGUCUAGAAAAAUAAUAACAUUAACAUUCAUAGUUUACUUUAGUUGAGUACACUAUUUUGAAAUAAUUUAAGGUGUGCCAUACUAGAUAAAAUCUCAAAACUUAAUUCGAUUGAGCAUAAUGAUUGUAAGUUGUUCCGUGAAUUUCCUUCAUGAUUAAAUUCUGGAUUUAAGGUAAGUAAUUUACUUUUCUCUUUCAAAUUCUUGAAAUUCUACGAUUUGAUUUCAUAUACAAACAUAACAAUUUUGGAUGAAUAGUUGUGUGGUUUGUUGUUCGAAAUUUAAGUGUUGAAACUUUCUGUUUAUAAUUUUUCUUACUUUCUUUGUUAAUUUAAAAAAAAAAAAAGAGUAAAAGAAGAUAUGCAUUUGUAUUUUCUUUUAAUUAUUUGCCUCAAAUGCAUAAUAUGGUUAUGAAUAUUUUUAUAAUAUUGUUAAGUAUAUGUGAUUUGAUGUUUGAAUAUACAGUAGAACUUUAUCCGGCACUAUUUUGAGGCGCAAAAACUUUAAUCAGUGAAAGGAAGCGUUAGAGUUUUCCUUUUUUUGUUUCAUAUAGCUGCUGGGUUUCUUUACUUGGUUAGAAAAGUGUUUAUUCAUGCUAUUGUGCUAUUUUAUAUCAAAGUAGUAAGUUUUCUUUGGACCAAUUAAGCCAUGGAAUAGCCCAACCCAUGGAACAUAUAUACUACAGUCUCAGGUGGGGAAUAGCCGACAUCAAGACAUCAAGGUUCAUCUGCUGGUGGGAAUAGCCCGGUGUAUUAAGCUUCCGCUAUGCGUGAGGUUCGAGGAGGUGGGAAUAGCCCAUUGUACUAAACUCCCGCUAUGCGUGAGGUUCGGGAAGGUGGGAAUAGCCCAGUGUAUUAAGCUCCCGCUAUGUGUGAGGUUCAGGAAGGUGGGAAUAGCCCAGUGUACUACGCUCCCGCUAUGCGUGGGGUUCGGGGAAGGGCCGGACCACAAGGGUCUAUUGUACGCAGUCUUACCCAGUAUUUCCGCAAGAGGUUGUUUCUACGGCUCGACUCUUGACCUACUAGUCACGUGGCAACAACUUUACCAGUUAAGCCAAAGGUCCCCUCGAUAAACCUCACACAAGCCCAAAAAAAUUAUGAACUAGAUUGUUCAGUUAUACAAACUAAUGGUUAUUGAAAGAUAAAUACAUGGGCAAAAAUAAAGAUUUGGAAGGAGAAGAACUUUGUCAUUAGCAUUGCAGCAGAAUGUGAUCCCCAUUUAGCUCUUACAAAAUCAAGGAUAAGUAUUGAAACUUGUCCAACCACAACAUAUGAAAAUAUCCAAGUUUUUUUAUCACUAAAAGGACAUGAAAUGCAGAUUAAAAGGUUGACUAAAUUUUCAAAUGAAACUGGCCUUCCAUAUAGCAUUUGGAAGAGCUUCUAACAUAGGAACAUGAUAAAGGUUUUGAUGCCACAGAAAUUGGAAUAUCUUCUUAAAGACGGGGAUCGAUCAUGUCAGUAACCGGUCAUAAACUGUUACUUGUCUCCACUUUCUUCGGCCACUCCUGCCAAAUCUCGCUGCAGAUAUUUAACCAAACAGAAAAAUGAAGAAUAUUUGGCUAAUCGUUACUUAAUGUCGAUGCUUGAACUCAAAAACUUCUUACCUGAACGCAAGAUGCUGCAUAGUGCACGUCAUUUUCUGAAAUCUGGUGAUGAAUAACAUAUCUGAUUCUGCAAUAGAAGUUCCCAAACAUUUUCUUAAGAGAUGCUGAAAAUUUCACAAGGGCUUGGUUUGUAAAUUAUAGGAUCAUGUUCCGAAAGUUACAAUGCUAUUGGUAUGAUAUAACCAUCAAAACUAUACAAAAGAUUGUCGUCAAGAGAGGAAAAGAUAGAGGUGUCCAUAUGUAUCAGCAUAUGUUGCGUCUAUUGGUGUAAUAAUCCAAGUGUUUGUACCUCCUCUUGAACAUGCAUGCUAUUAAAUUUCUCACUAGUUGGUGAACUCCAAAUGAGCUCAUUAGCGCACAUAAACAAUCUAGGAAAUAAAGUACAUGUGCUUGGCCUCUGUGGCCCUUCUGGUAGUAUAAGUAAACCAUGUUGUUCCAAAGUCUUGCACAUCUCUGUUUCGCUUAUCUUUGACCCCUUCAGUAUACCGCAACAUACAAUGUUAGUCUCUACGGUAGCAAUAUCAACUUUCAGCCCUUUGAUUUUGUGAAGUUCCUCGGCCAAAAUCUUAGCCUUUUUGUGAUCUCCUUCCAACUUAACAAGAUUCUCUUGGAAAGCGAUAAGGGCAACAGUACAAAGGACACCAUCUUAUCUUUGACCCCUUCAGUAUAUCGCAAUAUACCUGAUGAUAGAAAAAAAAUCUUAAUGCGAACUUUGCUCCCAGGAGCUAAAAGAAAAUUUUACAUUGGCGAUCUGAUAUGCGUCUGUCUGUUUUUGUGGAUUACUAGAGAGGAUAGAUUCAUUUCAUAGAGAAGACAUCGCCAGCCAAGAGCCGUUUCUUCCUUCUUGUCAAUUUGAUGUUAACUUUAUGUUUUGGGAGUGUGUGAACAAAAUCCCACAUGGAAAGUAGAAAAUAAAAAUAAGCUACAUAUACGGAGUUGGAUACUCUUAAUGGAGUGAGGCCUUUUGGUGUGGGCUUGAUCCAAAGAUGACAAGAAAAAUAAGAGUGUAUUUGGGCUGAUUUAACGCAACAGGAGCCAAUGGUUUGGCGAGAUGAGUAUGGAGAUGGCAAAGUAAUGGCGUGGGGCCCGGCUUAGUGACUUUGCCCCUCUAUGGACCGGUUCACUACCUUUACCCAUAGCUUCAAAGACGCAUACACAACAACGAUGAUGGGUCAUGUGGAACUUAGUUCAAAGGAGAGAUUGUUGGGAGUGUGUUAAUAAAGUCCCACAUGAAAAGUAGAAAAGAAAAAUAAGCUACAUAUAAGUAGUUGGAUACUCUUAAAGGUGUGAGACCUUUUGGGAAAAACUGUGCGGGCUUGACCCAAAGCGGCCAAUAUCACACCAUAUUAAAAAGUAUCUUUGGGCCGUUUUAGCCCAACAUUAUGAAUAAAGUUGGUUAAAUAAACCUUAUCGAAGGGAGAAAAUAUUAGCAGCCAAAAUCUUAGCCUUUAUGGUGAUCUCCUUCCAGCUUAACAAGAUUCUCUUGGAAAGUGAUAAAAGCAGCAGCACAAAGGACACCAACCUGCCUCAUUCCACCGAAGGAAACAACAGUUUCCUUUGGCAAGAAACAGAUAAAAUCUUUAUGUAAAAGCAUGGCAAUGAAGCUCUUCGAAACAGAUAAAUACAUAACUUUUCUGUUUCAACUUCAAUAACUGUCCUUGAGGAAACUUGUCCUAUGUCUAAUUGAAGAAGUUAAGUUUCUCUCGGUUGUAAACUCCGCAAAAUCCAUCAGUUGAUGUUCCAACCAAAAUGGUACUCCAAGUCUUAAGAAAAUGAAUUCUAUAUCCCAGUUCAAAAUUUAGCUCUUUCUUAAGUUCAAAAAGGUGCUACUUGUAUGAAACUAGAUUAGGAUAUUCUUUACAGAAACUACUGAAAAUUACUCUAAUUUGAAGAUCCAUCUAUCUGACUCCUUAAUUAUUGACUGACUCCAGACAAAACGUUGUCUCGUAACAAGACGAAAAUGGUGUACUCACAACUUAUGCAUUGAAUAUACGAGCUCCAUCAAUGUGAAUGUGAAGCUUCAGACCAUACUUCUUUGCUAGCUCUCCGACUUUGUCAGUAUACUCUGCAGAAAGGCAUCUGCCGCCUGAGCUGCACUCAUAAAAUAUUGUUGGUUAAGAACUUGCAUUAUAAAAGACAGUCAAUACUCAAAACUGACUAAAGCAACAAAAAAGCAUGACUAAGCAACUAAACUAUAUUUUCGGACAUGAUCCUCGGAAUCAUUUUUUAAAACAAAAACUAUGAAGCAGAGUGUACAAAAAGCACUCCUUGAAUUGAAGGCUGUGCAGUUUUUUGCCACAACCUCUAAAGGAUAGCUACAGAGCUUUUCGUGAUUCAUCUGAGUAUGUGAGAUCGAGGAGCAAACUAAAUUUUUGACUCCUAUUAUGCCAUGAGGAGUUACUGAAUCAUUUAGCAGCCACUUCAGUAACACAACCCUUAGGUUAUCCUAUAAAGUCAAUUUGUUCAGGAAUCCGUAAAUAUCAGGCUAAAUUGUAAACUUCCUCAACUUCAUAGCUUUUGUCCACACCAGUCAGAUUGACGAUAUAAAUACGAGAAAAGUCACAGCAUGUAUUCUACAUUAAGGAAAGAGUUUAAUUUAAGAAAUAUCUAAGAAAAUUAAUACUGGUCAUUAAUUCCUCCCUUCUUUCUAUCAUAUUCAUGCUUCGAUGGAUAGCAUGGAAUGACAACAGCGUAACAGUUGCAGUCAAGAGUCCAAGAGAUGAAGGAAGUAGUUCAGGAUUUCUUUAUAAUGCAGUAUUUGAGGGACAAGAGUCCAAAAUGUAACUCAUAAGUGUCAUUAGUGUGUGUGGAUCAAUGACAGAAUGACCACAUUUGGCAGAAGGUACAAGUAGAAAAGAUUACUUGAGAUGGUUAUUUUACGUUCAAUAUUUGGUAGGAGUCUUUUUAUCUUGUUAGAGAUUCAUAUGCCAAUAGAAAAUGUAGAGAACUUUUAAUGCUAGAGAAACUAAUUUUUUAUCAUAAUAUUGGAAUAAGAUGGGGUUAGAUGAAGUGGCAUGAAUAGUUCGGAUCAUAUAACUGAUCCGAACUUGUUUGGAAUUGAGGCUAGUUGUUAUGGUAGGGCUUAGGAGUAGUAGAUAUAUACACCUCUAACAACUGGCAAAAUUUGAUAGCAUAACCAAAUAAUGCACUUAUAGGUCACGAGUUCGAACCGAGGUACAAUGUCUCUGUGUGAUAUAUAGGUCACAGGUUCAAGCCGUGGAAGCAGUCGCUAAUACUUGCAUUAAGUUAGAAUGUCUACAUCAUACCCUUUGGGUGCGGCCUUUCCCCGUAUAUAUAUAUAUAUAUAUAUAUAGUUGAUGGUGUUGGCUAAAAAAAGGGGAGAAAGGAGAGCUUUAGGGUACGCUCACUUCUACAUUUUUGUUUAGGUGUGAAUGGAAGCCCCCCCCCCCCGAAUCAAGCAAGAAGGAAGCGGCUCUUCCCACGGCGAAGUAUAUAUAUAUAUAUAUAGUGCAAAAAUAAACAGUAAAUAUGGCAGGCUAUUUAUGUAAAGAUCCGCAAAGUUAAAGCACAAUAACACAAGCGUAGAAGCAAAUAUGACGUACCCAUAGAAUGACACAGCAAAUAAAGGACUAUAGAUUUAGUUUCCCAGAAAAAUUGGAAAGGGCAGACUAAUGCAGUUCAUUAUUUUGCAAGGAACAUAGGCAGCUCAACCACAGUUCAAAUUGAUACUUCCAAAUUUUCAUCCAACCAUACAAGACAUUCUUGAAAUAAAGUAAAACUCGGACAAAAAUGUACGAAAAAUGGAUUACAACACAACAAGCGAACCACCGAUCACUUUCUUAGUGGCAAAACUAGAACAUUACUAGUUUCCCGCAUCACUUGCAACUCCCGAAUCUUCUAUUUUAGUAACAUCCUGAGCAUCACCUGCAACUCCAGAAUCUUCUAUUUUGGUACCAUCCUGGUUACUUUCCCCUAUACAGUUUUACUGACCCUCCAUAGGCACAUUCUCACUUGUGGCUUCGGCAUCCAUUGUAGAGUCGUCACUGAUAAUUUUCACCUGUUCCUCAACGUCCUGAGGAGUUGCAUCAUGAGUGGCAGAAGCAGGAUUUUCCCCUGCAUUGGAGCACUGGCCGGUCUCUGAAGAUUCCACAGGCACGUCAUCAGCUUCAAUGACAGAAGCAGAUUUUUCCUCUGCAUUGGAACACUGGCCGGUCUCUGAAGAUUCCACAGGCACGUCAUCAGCUUCAACAGCAGGAGCGGCAGAACCAGAUUCUUCCUCUGCAUUAGAACACUGGCCAGUCUCUGAAGAUUCCACAGGCACAUCAUCAGCUUCAAUAGCAGAUGAUGAUACAUGAGCGGCAGAAGCAAAAGUUUCCUCUGCAUUGGAGCAUUGGCCAGUACCUGAAGAUUCCACCCCAGCUUCAGUAGCAGCAGAUGUGCUCUGCUUUUCUUCCAUUUCUGCCUUGGCCAGCUCAAGAGCACGAUUCUUUGCUGCAAUUUCUUCCUGAAUUUGAGCUUGUAUUCUGUACUCAUCCAUGAGAUGCUGCAUCUUUUCCUUAUCUGCUAUGAGGUCACCGUACCUUUUCUGUAAAGUACGUUCAAGCUCCUUUUGUUUCUGAACUUCUUCCCACAGAUUGUUGAUCCUAUGUGAUGCUGCUAGCUGCUCUUGUUUCUGUAAUGCUCGGAAGCAUUCAAGUUCUGUCCCUGCUGUGUCCAUUUGCUUAAACGUAGCCUCUAUCUGUGACCAGAGUUUUCCAGCUCGCAUCUGCUCACCCACAAUGAAUAUUUGUUAGCUAGAAUUUAUAGCUUAGAUCUCAACAACAACAACAACCCAGUAUAAUCCCACUUAGUGGGAUCGGGGGAGGGUAGUGUGUACGCAGACCUUACCCCUAUCCUUGGUAGAGAGGCUGUUUCCAAAUAGACCCCCGGCAUCCUUUCCCUCCAAAAACUUCCCACCUUGCUCUUGUGGAGACUCGAACUCACAACCUCUUGGUUGGAAGUGAGGGUUGCUUACCAUCAGAGAAACUCCUCUUGUCUAGAGAAACCCCUCUUAGUGCACACAAGAUGCUCUUUUACACAAUGAAUAAUUGUUAGCUGGAAUUUAUAGCUUAUAUCUUAACUCUCAAAACCCAAAAAAAGGAGGUCGGAUAGCCAAGAAAGAUCCAUGUAAGAUCUAGAAACACGUCUGCUUGCAGACUAAGUUGCACGGACUCAUCAAUUUUGGUGCCGUCCCCGUCCCGAUACGAGACUUGGACGGGUGCUGGAGCGGGAAACGUCCCGGAUACGGUCAACCGACUUCGGACACUUUGACCGGAGUCCAUCGACAAAUUUAGGAGAAAAAUUGAGAUUUUAAUUUCUCAAAAUAAAAAAUUAAACAGAUUUAAGUUACGGAAAAUGGCAUACCUUCAAUGAUAUAGUAUUUUUGUCGCAUACAUGAUGCUUUGUGUAUCGGAGAAACCAAAACAUACCUUCAAUGUCAUAGUAUUUUUGUCUCAUAUUUGAUGCUUUGUGUAUCGGAGAAACUAAAAAUUUGAAGUGUCAUUUGAUUUUGUACAUGUAGACCUAGCAUGUAGUCUCAAUAUUUACAAUAUUUUUAUAGCUCUAUUUUUUAUUUUCUUAGCCGUAUCCCUGCGCACCCGUAUCCAUAUCAAGAUUCGCACCCCCGAAUCUUAAAAAUUAGAUUUUACCGAAUCCGAUACUCGGAAUCGUCCCCGUAUCGGAUACCCGCACCCGAGUCCGAGCAACUUAGCUUGCAGAUCAAACCUCCAGACAAAUGAAGCUAUUAACAGAGAACUGUAUAGGAAGUUGUAACCACAUUCAGAUUCAACAAUUAAACCGCUAAAUGUACCUGAUAUCCAUUAGUAAGGACUUUGAUCUUCUGCUCAAGCCUUGUUGCUUUCUUAGUAUCAUCAUCCAUUUUCUUCUUUACAUUCUCAAACUCAUUCUGUAAAGCAGCUAGCUUUUCCAUGUUUCCAGCAACACUUGAGAGACCAUAAGCAUUCCGGGUAGGAAAGUACAUGAUAUCAUUCAAAGUUGUUUUGUGUGCUUCGACAAAUUCAUCAAGAGAUUCACCCUCAUGUCCCAUUGCCACACGAACAAACUGAGCCUCAUCCUUGAUCAAUCCAUCAGCCUGCAUGAGUGGAGUUAGUUAUGUUGCCGUAGAUGAAGAUAAAAUCAAACAAACUCCAGAAAACAUUACUGUUUGCACACGGAAUUGGUAAUGACUGCAGUAGAUGAAGAUAAAAUCAAACAAACUCCAGAAAACAUUACUGUUUGCACACGGAAUUGGUAAUGACUAGGGCAUAUCUAAUAGCACAAUGUAAAAAUGGAAAAGGUGCCUAUGCAAAAAGGCCUGAUUUAUUUACUUCCAAAUAUUAUUUUAACAGUCAAAUGCACAUAGAAACACUGAAUUUUGCAGGAAAAAAAAGCCACAAUGAACAUAUUUCACACAAACACAAAUGGCAUCCAAGUGAGUACUUAAUGAUCCCCCAGAGUGGAACCAUUAGCAUUUUUUGGCGUCUGAUCGAAAGACCCGAAUGUCCAAUUUCAGUUAAUUAGUCAUCAUAACAAUAAAUACUAAAAACAAAACCGGGACACCAUGUAUGGUGUCAUGGGUGUAGGAGUAGGGUUCAUAAAGUUGAGCAUGUAAGCUAGCUUGUUGAGUGGAGUCAAGAAUGAAUAUAUAUAUAUAUAGUUGUCCAGCCUAUUGAACCUAUUCUUUUUCCCACAAAUCCUUACAGCCAUAGUUUAGUGAAAUUUUAUCAGCAAUUGUAGGAAUGAUUCCAUAUAUCCAUUACAUAAAAAGGUUAGAUGAUAUUGUAAAAGAACAGUGUCCAAAUGCUUUAUAUUGAAAUUUAGGCAACUCAUUUUCUUUUCUAGUAUUAAUUUGACACAAACAACUCUGAAGUCUAACAUGCAUUUGAAGUAAUCUGAAACUCUUUUGCUCAAAAAUAAAAAGUCCACUUAGGAUUUUGCAUAUCAUUUUUAAUUACCUUAAUGCCGCAAAGCAGGUAAGACUGCUCCUGGGAAAAUAAAUUGACACAAGGGUAGAGCCAAACCAUUUUUCUUUAUGUAACAUGAAUGUACCUCUUUCAGUUCAUCUUCCUCAAAGUCCUCAAUUGCAGGUUCAGCAAGCACUUUCCGCGUGACCCCCUUUUUCUUCUCCUUCUCUGGUUUUUCAUCUAGAGGAUACUUGCUAUUAUCAUGUUCUAGCAAAGACAGAAGUUCCUUCCUAAUCAUUUCAUCAGCCUGCUCAAUUAGUGUAGGAGGAACAAAGGAGCUCUUAUCUUCAUCAGCUCUCAAUAAGGAACUUCUUAUUAGUUCCAGUGAAGCAAUGGGAGGUCUAGGGAGCUCUCUCUGCAAUACUUUUGUUAAGGAACUUCGUAUUAGCUCUAGUGAAGCAAUGGGAGGUCUAGGGAGCUCUCUCUGCAGUACUUUUGACCUUUUCCGGAGUAAAGCUUGUUGCCUUGCUUCUUCUUCGGCCUUCUCCCUUGCAAUCCUAUCAGACAUGUCUUCUUCAAUAUUCUCUUCUGGUGGUUCUUCAUUUUCUUCAUG
RNAcentral lists this long non-coding RNA (19840 nucleotides) under Nicotiana benthamiana. Its description in RNAcentral is "long non-coding RNA (NBEN_LNC004188)". The record is from RNAcentral. Lineage: Eukaryota; Viridiplantae; Streptophyta; Magnoliopsida; Solanales; Solanaceae.